RNAcentral lists this small RNA (34 nucleotides) under Bombyx mori (domestic silkworm). RNAcentral's name for it is "ovarian small RNA-4840". The record is from RNAcentral. Lineage: Eukaryota; Metazoa; Arthropoda; Insecta; Lepidoptera; Bombycidae.
CCUGAAAGGUAUACUUAUCGGUUUCAGUAGUAUC